RNAcentral lists this long non-coding RNA (917 nucleotides) under Physcomitrium patens. RNAcentral's name for it is "long non-coding RNA (PPAT_LNC005138)". The record is from RNAcentral. Lineage: Eukaryota; Viridiplantae; Streptophyta; Bryopsida; Funariales; Funariaceae.
GCCAGGUCACUCAAAUUCCAGCCAUGUGUGUGGGUGUGUGAUUGAGCAUGAGGAGUGCAGGGCAUGCUGACCUGGAUGAAGCAUUGGACCCCCCACUCCCCAUCCUGCUGAUGUGGCACCCACUAGGCCUCUCUUAAGCUUAUCCACACUCUCCCUUGUAUGAUAAUUUUGACUCUCUUGCUUCUAAAUUCAUAGGCCAACAACUGAAAGUGAAAAAAUAAUCAUUUAUUAUUAUUAUUAUUAUUAUUAUUAUUUUAAUAAUACACAAACAAGUGAAUGAGAUUUUGUCAUUCAUUUUCCACUGGAUUUUUCAUAGAUUCCUGAUGGGAACUAGAGCAUUUGAUUUAUGAGUCCAUGUUUCAAAAAGCUACUGCUAAACAAAGAACAAUGGCUACUUUGUGACAUUCUUGUAUUUUAGAAAAAUAUUGUGUGAAAAAACAGGUGUUGUGGAAAAAAUAUAAGUUUAUUACCUUGACAGUGUUCAACAAUUUUAUGCUCCACAUCAUAUAAAUUGUUAACAAAGUAAGGGCUGCAAAUGUUCUUCAGACACACACAAACAAGGCUACAUGAUACUUUCCUUCUUUACAUUGUUCUAGAAUUAAUUGGAUACAUUUACUGGUACAUAAUCCUUGUUUUUUUUUGUUCCCAACACUGUUAGUAACUUUAAGAACAUGAGGGUGAUUCCAUUUCAUUUUUUAUUUUGUUUUUGACACAUCCAGGAAAUAUUCUGCAGAGUUCUCUGGCAGAUAAUGGAGCUCUAUAAAGUGUUAUGCAUAGUUACCAUACUAAGAUUGUAGGUCAAGUGUGGGAUGGACUACAACUCUACAUCGUGCAAUUCUGUUCCCACCAUCUAAUUACAAACCAAAACUUCACUUUCAUUAUUUGCUUUUACAUAACAUUUGACAUUGACACCAAGU